Molecule: ribosomal RNA, 61 nt
Filed under: Leptosphaerulina sp. Fanqin10
Lineage: Eukaryota; Fungi; Ascomycota; Dothideomycetes; Pleosporales; Didymellaceae
Description: partial 28S ribosomal RNA
Source: RNAcentral
UUGACCUCGGAUCAGGUAGGGAUACCCGCUGAACUUAAGCAUAUCAAAAGCCGGAGGAAAC